UACGCUGGCGGCACGCCUAACACAUGCAAGUCGAACGAAGUAGCAAUACUUAGUGGCAGACGGGUGAGUAACAUGUGGGUAUCUACCCUUUGGCCUGGAAUAACACGAGGAAACUUGUGCUAAUACCGGAUAAGUCUUUACGGAGAAAGCUUUAUGCACCAUUGGAUGAGCCCGCACUUGAUUAGUUUGUUGGUAGGGUAAUGGCCUACCAAGACUAUGAUCAAUAGCUGAUUUGAGAGGAUGAUCAGCCACAUUGGGACUGAGACACGGCCCAAACUCCUACGGGAGGCAGCAGUGGGGAAUCUUGCACAAUGGAGGAAACUCUGAUGCAGCGAUGCCGCGUGAGUGAAGAAGGCCCUUGGGUUGUAAAGCUCUUUCGUCGGGGAAGAAAAUGACUGUACCCGAAUAAGAAGGUCCGG
This 419-nucleotide ribosomal RNA is filed under the name uncultured bacterium. RNAcentral describes it as "bacterial SSU rRNA". It matches the Rfam family "Bacterial small subunit ribosomal RNA", at positions 33 to 496 of the family's 1533-position model. The record is from RNAcentral.